ACGGCCGCGCGCCCGCCGCCGCCACCGCCGCCUGAUGCUGCAGAGCCGGGCGCCGUUCCUCGGGGCCAGGCGGCUGCCGGUGCCAGCACGCGCCGCCGUGGGGAGCCCGGCUCUGGGGCCCGCCCGAGACGCUGCCACAGCCCGGGACCUCGGUUGCCUGCCUAACGCCUGAACUGCCGACUCGCCCGGGCGCCGGCGGCGGGCGGGGCGCUGUGCAGCGGCGCGCAGGGAGGCGGUGAGCGCGUGCAGAGCUGCCGGAGCCGAGGACUGGAUGUGGGUGUGCGUGUGUGUGCCCGGGCGCGCGUGUGUUUGUGCGUGUUUCUCCUCUUUCUCGUGAGGAUGGGAAUGGUUUCACAGCUGGCUGCUCCCUUAGGAUUCUUGACUUUGGGGAGCUCUGGACUGUGAGGACAGCCCACCCACAUAAUCCAUUUUGCAAGCUUGGUUGUAUCAGGGGAAAAAGCGCAACUAGACGGGGGUGGGGCAGACGGAGGAAACCUGGAAAUACACACACUCUCCAGCCAGAGGAAGAAUUGAAAGACUUGAAAAGACUUUGGUAACCUCCUGCUGGCCCUUCCCUUUUCCGGAAAGAUCCUGGAUACCUUUUCAAGUCAUCUUGGCAUCCCUCUGGUGUUUUUGUAAGCCGCUUUCCAGCUAGCUGCGUGUGUGCGCGCGCGUGUGUGUACGCGCGCGUCUAUCUGAUGCAUUUGACUGUCUUUUAUCCACUGCCCAGAAGCAAACGUGUUAACUCGGCGAUGUCCCUCCGUGCCCGGGUUCUCGAAGAGCGCGGAGGACGCCCAGACCUAUUUUCCUGGCUGGAUUUGGAAGGGCUGUUGGGCUGUGGACCCAGGUGUGUGGAUCGCUUUACCCAGAGGCUUGGAAAACACCGAUAUUAACCUGCUUCCAGGUACAUGGCAAGGUCAAGAGCGGGUCUUGCAGCUUUAUCGUUUCUGCGCAUCUAGACCCUCCUGUCUUGGCCAGAAAGAUAUUUACGUUUCAGUCCCCAGCAUUUGAAGCCAAAAGUUCAGCUCUUCUAGCUGGUUUGCGAUACAAACAAGGUAAUGAGGAUUGCUUUUCAAACUGCUUAACAAAAUCCCCGACUUUCUCAGCUCUUUUCCGGCUUCCUCCUCCCCACCAAAAUGUCAACAGCUCUUGAAUUACGUGGAUUCAGGUUGGAGGAGAACUUGAAGGAAACGUGAUUGACCGGCUAUGAGAGAAAGCUCUCUCUGCUGCCCGCGGUCUGGUGGACUUCAAAGCCAGCCGUGAGAAGAAACUGUUCCCUCCCCGUGCGGAGCUGGGUGUGCGUGUGCAAGUGUGAGUACAAGUGCGCGCGCGCCCGGGUGCGAGUGUGCGUGUGAGUGUGCGUGUCUCUGAGUGUGCGUGCGUGGCCGCCCUGCCUCUGCCCGCUCCCGGGCCCCGAGACGCGGGUUUCAUGGGGCGAUCGCCACGGAUCCCCCACCCAGCGCGACCUGCGGGCAGCGGCGGCAGUGGCAGGAGCCGCCUCUCCGACUCCCUAGGAUGCGGGUGCUGAGCUAUGGCAAAGGGCAGAGAAGUGACGAAGGAGCCCCGAGUACGACCGUGACAGCCACCUGGAGCCACCUUGCCGGGAUUGUACCUGCGGGCAGAAAGUCUUCCUACGACCGUCUUUUCCCCUAGAGACACAGAGUCCCUGUAACCAUUCAGCCAGGUGUUGAGAAGAUCCAUGGACUGAGCACCUUCCUUCGACACCGUGCUCAGUCGGAACCAGCUUUGGAGAUGCUUUCACCCUGUCCAUCUUCUGCAGCAGCCGGGCAGAGUGCUGACUCCUUCCCAGCAGUGAGGAACUCUUCAGGCUCCAGAAGCUCUUAAAUCUGAUUUACAAUGGAAAAAUUUCUUUUUUAUUUGCUUUUCAUUGGCAUAGCAGUGAAAGCUCAGAUCUGUCCAAAGCGUUGUGUCUGUCAAAUUUUGUCUCCUAAUCUUGCAACCCUUUGUGCCAAGAAAGGGCUUUUAUUUGUUCCACCAAACAUUGACAGAAGAACUGUGGAACUGCGUCUGGCAGACAAUUUUGUUACAAAUAUUAAAAGGAAAGAUUUUGCCAACAUGACCAGCUUGGUGGACCUGACUCUGUCCAGGAAUACAAUAAGUUUUAUUACACCUCAUGCGUUUGCCGACCUGCGGAAUUUGAGGGCUUUGCAUUUGAAUAGCAACAGGUUGACUAAAAUCACAAACGAUAUGUUCAGUGGUCUUUCUAAUCUCCAUCAUUUGAUAUUGAACAACAAUCAGCUGACUUUAAUUUCUUCUACAGCCUUUGAUGAUGUGUUUGCCCUUGAGGAGCUGGAUCUGUCCUAUAAUAAUCUAGAAACCAUUCCUUGGGACGCCGUGGAGAAGAUGGUUAGCCUGCACACCCUGAGUCUGGACCACAAUAUGAUCGACAACAUUCCUAAGGGGACUUUCUCCCACUUGCACAAGAUGACUCGGCUAGAUGUAACAUCCAACAAAUUGCAGAAGCUACCACCUGACCCUCUCUUUCAGCGAGCUCAGGUACUCGCCACCUCAGGAAUCAUAAGCCCAUCUACUUUUGCAUUAAGUUUCGGCGGAAACCCUUUGCAUUGCAACUGUGAGUUGUUGUGGUUGAGGCGACUGUCCAGAGAAGAUGACCUGGAGACCUGUGCUUCUCCUGCACUCUUAACUGGCCGCUACUUUUGGUCCAUUCCUGAGGAAGAGUUCUUGUGCGAGCCCCCUCUCAUUACUCGUCACACACACGAAAUGAGAGUCCUGGAGGGUCAGAGGGCGACACUGAGGUGCAAAGCCCGGGGAGACCCUGAACCUGCAAUUCACUGGAUUUCUCCCGAAGGGAAGCUGAUUUCCAAUGCAACGAGAUCUCUGGUGUAUGAUAAUGGAACCCUGGACAUUCUCAUCACCACUGUCAAGGAUACGGGUGCUUUUACCUGCAUUGCUUCCAAUCCAGCGGGGGAAGCAACCCAGACCGUGGAUCUUCAUAUAAUUAAGCUCCCCCACUUACUGAACAGUACAAACCAUAUCCACGAGCCUGAUCCUGGUUCUUCAGAUAUCUCCACUUCUACCAAGUCAGGGUCAAACGCUAGCAGCAGUAACGGUGACACGAAAAUGAGCCAGGAUAAAAUUGUGGUGGCAGAGGCAACGUCCUCAACGGCACUGCUUAAAUUCAACUUUCAAAGAAAUAUCCCCGGGAUACGUAUGUUUCAGAUCCAGUACAAUGGUACUUACGAUGACACCCUUGUUUACAGGAAGUCACGUUGGGAAGCUAUUCCAUGUCCCAAUGGUGCUGCCAUUGCUCAAAGCAGUUUUGGAAUUAUCUUAGAACCUUCAUCAUACUAUUUUGAAUAUCCUCAUUGGUGGCAAAUCUUCGUCUUUUGAGGGUGAAUUUGAAUUUUGGAAACAAGCAAAAGCCAUUUGGAGUCAAGUCUGGUGAAUAAGGAUGAUUCCUCCUACGAGCAAAACCUUUCUGGUCAACAAUCUGGCUGCUGGAACUAUGUAUGACUUGUGUGUCUUGGCCAUAUAUGACGAUGGCAUCACGUCCCUCACUGCCACGAGAGUUGUGGGCUGCAUCCAGUUUACGACGGAACAGGAUUACGUGCGGUGCCACUUCAUGCAGUCCCAGUUCUUGGGAGGCACCAUGAUUAUCAUCAUCGGUGGCAUCAUUGUAGCUUCUGUGCUGGUUUUCAUCAUCAUCCUUAUGAUUCGGUAUAAGGUUUGUAACAAUAAUGGGCAGCACAAGGUCACCAAGGUCAGCAACGUGUAUUCUCAAACUAACGGGGCUCAAAUCCAAGGCUGCAGCGUCACACUGCCCCAGUCUGUGUCCAAACAAGCCGUGGGCCCUGAUGAGAGCACCCAGUGUAAAGCGGCCAGUGACAGUGCCAUCCAAUCCUCAGAAACUUGUUUGAGUCAGGACUCCUCCUCCACUACCUCUGCUUUGCCUCCUUCUUGGACUUCAAGCGCUUCUGUGUCCCAAAAGCAGAAGAGAAAGACGAGCACAAAGCCAAGUCCCGACCCACAGAGUGAAGCGGUCACGAGUGUCGAGUCCCAAAACACUAACAGGAACAACUCGACCGCACUGCAGCUGGCCAGCCGACCUCCCGACUCCAUCCCCGAGGGGCCCACACCCAAAAGAGCACACACACAGCCAAAUGCUUUGCUGACUAAUGUUGACCAGAAUGUCCAGGAGACACAGAGACUGGAGUUAAUCUGAGGAGUGCCACUUCUUCUCUCUCUCUUGAAAAAAUUGCCACUGAUAUUUUUACUGGAUAAAAUUAAAAAAAAAAAAGUUUCAAUUCACGAAGGCUGAUUGUUGAGCUGGUGUCCUAGAAGAAAUUGGCUGCAGGAGCUGAGGCCCAAGUCUCUGAUGCUGGCGGAACUGGCUCCAUCGCACCAUGGUUCAUCCUCUUUUCAAACCAAAUUUUUUUUCUUCGGCCUACGACUAAUUUUUUUUUUUUUUUAAAGAAAGAAAAACAAAGCCUACAUUGGCAUCAAGUUCUGUAUCAACCCAUCUUACGUUGCCAUAAAUGAUUUAACAGACUGUAGAAUCUUGAAUAAUCUAUAUCACUUUAACAAAUAAAUGUUUUACUAUGAC
Otolemur garnettii (small-eared galago) is the source of this 4585-nucleotide RNA transcript. It is a transcript of the gene named leucine rich repeat and fibronectin type III domain containing 5, with no coding region annotated. The transcript has 7 exons. The record is from RefSeq and is a predicted model, not a curated record. Lineage: Eukaryota; Metazoa; Chordata; Mammalia; Primates; Galagidae.